UGCCAGCAGCCGCGGUAAUACGGAGGGAGCAAGCGUUGUUCGGAUUUACUGGGCGUAAAGGGCGCGCAGGCGGUUUGGUAAGUCAGAUGUGAAAUUCACCGGCUCAACCGGUCGAACUGCAUCCGAUACUGCCAGACUUGAGAUCAGUAGAGGAGAGUGGAAUUCCCAGUGUAGCGGUGGAAUGCGUAGAUAUUGGGAAGAACACCGGUGGCGAAGGCGGCUCUCUGGACUGAUUCUGACGCUGAGGCGCGAAAGCUAGGGGAGCGAACAGGAUUAGAUA
RNAcentral lists this ribosomal RNA (280 nucleotides) under uncultured bacterium. Its description in RNAcentral is "partial 16S ribosomal RNA". It matches the Rfam family "Bacterial small subunit ribosomal RNA", at positions 506 to 784 of the family's 1533-position model. The record is from RNAcentral.